RNAcentral lists this ribosomal RNA (760 nucleotides) under uncultured Prevotella sp. RNAcentral's name for it is "bacterial SSU rRNA". It matches the Rfam family "Bacterial small subunit ribosomal RNA", at positions 28 to 776 of the family's 1533-position model. Lineage: Bacteria; Pseudomonadati; Bacteroidota; Bacteroidia; Bacteroidales; Prevotellaceae. The record is from RNAcentral.
GAUGAACGCUGGCUACAGGCUUAACACAUGCAAGUCGAGGGGAAACGACGGGGAAGCUUGCUUCCUUGGGCGUCGACCGGCGCACGGGUGAGUAACGCGUAUCCAACCUGCCUCUGACUGAGGGAUAACCCGUCGAAAGUCGGCCUAAUACCUCAUGGCAUCGUCUGCGGGCAUCCAACGACGAUUAAAGAUUUCAUCGGUCAGAGAUGGGGAUGCGUCUGAUUAGCUUGUUGGCGGGGUAACGGCCCACCAAGGCUACGAUCAGUAGGGGUUCUGAGAGGAAGGUCCCCCACAUUGGAACUGAGACACGGUCCAAACUCCUACGGGAGGCAGCAGUGAGGAAUAUUGGUCAAUGGGCGAGAGCCUGAACCAGCCAAGUAGCGUGCAGGAUGACGGCCCUAUGGGUUGUAAACUGCUUUUAUGCGGGGAUAAAGUGAGGGACGUGUCCUUCAUUGCAGGUACCGCAUGAAUAAGGACCGGCUAAUUCCGUGCCAGCAGCCGCGGUAAUACGGAAGGUCCGGGCGUUAUCCGGAUUUAUUGGGUUUAAAGGGAGCGUAGGCCGUGGAUUAAGCGUGUUGUGAAAUGCAGGUGCUCAACGUCUGCACUGCAGCGCGAACUGGUCCACUUGAGUGUGCGCAACGCAGGCGGAAUUCGUCGUGUAGCGGUGAAAUGCUUAGAUAUGACGAAGAACUCCGAUUGCGAAGGCAGCCUGCGGGAGCACAACUGACGCUGAAGCUCGAAAGUGCGGGUAUCGAACAGG